Molecule: ribosomal RNA, 502 nt
Filed under: uncultured bacterium
Lineage: Bacteria
Description: bacterial SSU rRNA
Rfam family: Bacterial small subunit ribosomal RNA
Source: RNAcentral
GACGAACGCUGGCGGCGUGCUUAACACAUGCAAGUCGAGCGGGGUGCAUUGGUUAGCUUGCUAACUGAUGUUACCUAGCGGCGGACGGGUGAGUAACGCGUGAGCAACCUACCUAUUAGAGGGGGAUAACACACCGAAAGGUGUGCUAAUACCGCAUGAGGCAGUUGAAUCGCAUGAUAAGGCUGUUAAAGGAGAAAUCCGCUAAUAGAUGGGCUCGCGUCUGAUUAGCUAGUUGGUAAGGUAACGGCUUACCAAGGCGACGAUCAGUAGCCGAACUGAGAGGUUGGUCGGCCACAUUGGGACUGAGACACGGCCCAGACUCCUACGGGAGGCAGCAGUGGGGAAUAUUGCGCAAUGGGGGAAACCCUGACGCAGCAACGCCGCGUGAAGGAAGAAGGUCUUCGGAUCGUAAACUUUUGUCUUUCAGGGAAGAAGGAAGUGACGGUACCUGAGGAGGAAGCCACGGCUAACUACGUGCCAGCAGCCGCGGUAAAAUAGCGUA